AACGAACGCUGGCGGCAGGCUUAACACAUGCAAGUCGAACGCCCCGCAAGGGGAGUGGCAGACGGGUGCGUACCGCGUGGGAACAUACCCUUUUCUACGGAAUAGCUCUGGGAAACUGGAAUUAAUACCGUAUACGCCCUACGGGGGAAAGAUUUAUCGGGGAAGGAUUGGCCCGCGUUGGAUUAGCUAGUUGGUGGGGUAAAGGCCUACCAAGGCGACGAUCCAUAGCUGGUCUGAGAGGAUGAUCAGCCACAUUGGGACUGAGACACGGCCCAAUCUCCUACGGGAGGCAGCAGUGGGGAAUAUUGGACAAUGGGCGCAAGCCUGAUCCAGCCAUGCCGCGUGAGUGAUGAAGGCCUUAGGGUUGUAAAGCUCUUUCACCGAUGAAGAUAAUGACGGUAGUCGGAGAAGAAGCCCCGGCUAACUUCGUG
Molecule: ribosomal RNA, 431 nt
Filed under: uncultured bacterium
Lineage: Bacteria
Description: partial 16S ribosomal RNA
Rfam family: Bacterial small subunit ribosomal RNA
Source: RNAcentral